This 180-nucleotide unclassified non-coding RNA is filed under the name uncultured Sordariales. Its description in RNAcentral is "sequence contains ITS1". Lineage: Eukaryota; Fungi; Ascomycota; Sordariomycetes; Sordariales. The record is from RNAcentral.
AAGAGUUGCAAAACUCCCUUAAACCAUCGCGAACGUUACCCCAUAACCGUUGCUUCGGCGGGCAGGCCAACCCUUUACGGGGCGUCUCCCCGGCUCCCCUCGCGGGGGCGCUCGCCGGAGCGGCACAACCAAACUCUUAUUAUUAUUGGCCUCUCUGAGUAAGAUUUUUUAAAUAAGUCA